RNAcentral lists this ribosomal RNA (717 nucleotides) under uncultured bacterium. RNAcentral describes it as "bacterial SSU rRNA". It matches the Rfam family "Bacterial small subunit ribosomal RNA", at positions 139 to 851 of the family's 1533-position model. The record is from RNAcentral.
GGGGAUAACUACUGGAAACGGUAGCUAAUACCGCAUAACGUCGCAAGACCAAAGAGGGGGACCUUCGGGCCUCUUGCCAUCGGAUGUGCCCAGAUGGGAUUAGCUUGUAGGUGAGGUAACGGCUCACCUAGGCGACGAUCCCUAGCUGGUCUGAGAGGAUGACCAGCCACACUGGAACUGAGACACGGUCCAGACUCCUACGGGAGGCAGCAGUGGGGAAUAUUGCACAAUGGGCGCAAGCCUGAUGCAGCCAUGCCGCGUGUAUGAAGAAGGCCUUCGGGUUGUAAAGUACUUUCAGCGGGGAGGAAGGGAGUGAGGUUAAUAACCUCAUUCAUUGACGUUACCCGCAGAAGAAGCACCGGCUAACUCCGUGCCAGCAGCCGCGGUAAUACGGAGGGUGCGAGCGUUAAUCGGAAUUACUGGGCGUAAAGCGCACGCAGGCGGUCUGUCAAGUCGGAUGUGAAAUCCCCGGGCUCAACCUGGGAACUGCAUUCGAAACUGGUAGGCUGGAGUCUUGUAGAGGGGGGUAGAAUUCCAGGUGUAGCGGUGAAAUGCGUAGAGAUCUGGAGGAAUACCGGUGGCGAAGGCGGCCCCCUGGACAAAGACUGACGCUCAGGUGCGAAAGCGUGGGGAGCAAACAGGAUUAGAUACCCUGGUAGCCCACGCUGUAAACGAUGUCGACUUGGAGGUUGUUCCCUUGAGGAGUGGCUUCCGGAG